Molecule: ribosomal RNA, 482 nt
Filed under: uncultured bacterium
Lineage: Bacteria
Description: bacterial SSU rRNA
Rfam family: Bacterial small subunit ribosomal RNA
Source: RNAcentral
AUUGAACGCUGGCGGCAUGCCUUACACAUGCAAGUCGAACGGUAACGCGGGGCAACCCGGCGACGAGUGGCGAACGGGUGAGUAAUGCAUCGGAACGUGCCCAGUAGUGGGGGAUAGCCCGGCGAAAGCCGGAUUAAUACCGCAUACGACCUACGGGUGAAAGCGGGGGACCGUAAGGCCUCGCGCUAUUGGAGCGGCCGAUGUCAGAUUAGGUAGUUGGUGGGGUAAAGGCCUACCAAGCCUUCGAUCUGUAGCUGGUCUGAGAGGACGACCAGCCACACUGGGACUGAGACACGGCCCAGACUCCUACGGGAGGCAGCAGUGGGGAAUAUUGGACAAUGGGCGCAAGCCUGAUCCAGCCAUGCCGCGUGAGUGAUGACGGCCUUAGGGUUGUAAAGCUCUUUCAACGGUGAAGAUAAUGACGGUAACCGUAGAAGAAGCCCCGGCUAACUUCGUGCCAGCAGCCGCGGUAAUGUCGUACG